AAUGGAGUGCCUGACAAAAGGGUUAUUUUGAUAGAAUAAAUCAUAUAGUUUUUCUAUUUCCAUUG
Molecule: transfer RNA, 65 nt
Filed under: Myllocerinus aurolineatus
Lineage: Eukaryota; Metazoa; Arthropoda; Insecta; Coleoptera; Curculionidae
Description: tRNA-Ile
Source: RNAcentral